RNAcentral lists this long non-coding RNA (344 nucleotides) under Manihot esculenta (cassava). RNAcentral describes it as "long non-coding RNA (MESC_LNC003281)". Lineage: Eukaryota; Viridiplantae; Streptophyta; Magnoliopsida; Malpighiales; Euphorbiaceae. The record is from RNAcentral.
CAAGUGUUCUAUGGACAGAAUAUUUCCAGCAAUUACGGACUAAAAAAUAUCCUAACCAACAAUCAAUUAACUUUGCAAUCAAGAAUCAAGUGGCCAAUUUGAUCAAAACAACAAAGCAAUCUUAGAAUUAAGCACAAUUGCAUGAAUAUUGAAUAAAUCAAAAGCAAACACUUUAUGUUCAGAUCUCACAAACCUUUAAACAACCUUAGUUUCAACCAAACUUCAACUAGAAAUAAGGGUUUCAGCCACUCAUGGCUGAACCAAAACAGAAAAUAAAAGAAAAGAAGAUGAAGAACCAAAGUGUGGGGAGGCUUGGAGAGCCUUGCCGAAUUCUUGAAAGAGAG